CGAGUCUGCCUUGAAGAUUGGAGUGCUUGCACUCUGUGAAACAAGAUACAGGCUAGCGGCGGACGGGUGAGUAACACGUGGGUAACCUGCCCAAGAGAUCGGGAUAACACCUGGAAACAGAUGCUAAUACCGGAUAACAACAGAUGAUGCCUAUCAACUGUUUAAAAGAUGGUUCUGCUAUCACUCUUGGAUGGACCUGCGGUGCAUUAGCUAGUUGGUAGGGUAACGGCCUACCAAGGCGAUGAUGCAUAGCCGAGUUGAGAGACUGAUCGGCCACAUUGGGACUGAGACACGGCCCAAACUCCUACGGGAGGCAGCAGUAGGGAAUCUUCCACAAUGGACGCAAGUCUGAUGGAGCAACGCCGCGUGAGUGAAGAAGGGUUUCGGCUCGUAAAGCUCUGUUGUUGGUGAA
RNAcentral lists this ribosomal RNA (412 nucleotides) under uncultured Lactobacillus sp. Its description in RNAcentral is "bacterial SSU rRNA". It matches the Rfam family "Bacterial small subunit ribosomal RNA", at positions 58 to 446 of the family's 1533-position model. The record is from RNAcentral. Lineage: Bacteria; Bacillati; Bacillota; Bacilli; Lactobacillales; Lactobacillaceae.